UCUGGGUAGUGAAUAGGUUUC
This 21-nucleotide non-coding RNA is filed under the name Arabidopsis thaliana (thale cress). The record is from RNAcentral. Lineage: Eukaryota; Viridiplantae; Streptophyta; Magnoliopsida; Brassicales; Brassicaceae.